RNAcentral lists this ribosomal RNA (506 nucleotides) under uncultured bacterium. RNAcentral's name for it is "partial 16S ribosomal RNA". It matches the Rfam family "Bacterial small subunit ribosomal RNA", at positions 28 to 507 of the family's 1533-position model. The record is from RNAcentral.
GACGAACGCUGGCGGCGUGCUUAACACAUGCAAGUCGAACGGUGAAGGGACUGGUUUUGCUGGUCCUGGAUGAGUGGCGAACGGGUGAGUAACACGUGAGUAACCUGCCCCCUUCUUCUGGAUAACCGCAUGAAAGUGUGGCUAAUACGGGAUAUUCUGGGUCUGUCGCAUGGUGGGCCUGGGAAAGAUUGCGCCUUUUUUGGUGUUUUUGGUGGGGGAUGGGCUCGCGGCCUAUCAGCUUGUUGGUGGGGUGAUGGCCUACCAAGGCGGUGACGGGUAGCCGGCCUGAGAGGGUGGACGGUCACACUGGGACUGAGACACGGCCCAGACUCCUACGGGAGGCAGCAGUGGGGAAUAUUGCACAAUGGGCGCAAGCCUGAUGCAGCGACGCCGCGUGAGGGAUGGAGGCCUUCGGGUUGUGAACCUCUUUCGCCAGUGAAGCAGGCCUGCCUCUUUUUGUGGGUGGGUUGACGGUAGCUGGAGAAGAAGCGCUGGCUAACUACGUG